CUCGAGACCUGCAAGGUAUGCUCCGUGGACGUAGCCGUUGUAGCGCUCGCUGGUGUGCUCACCGGUGAAGUAAACCCUCCCAACCGGCGCCUUCAAUUUUUGUCACCACAGAAAUAGUACAUGCAUGCAAAAAAAUUAACACAGCACGGUUAAUUACUAACCCGAUUUGAUGCGCCAGGUAAUUAACAAACUGAUGGAUGAGGUUUUAUUUACAAUACCCUGAGCUGGUCGUAUUCAUAGCGGUUGACGCCGAUGGGCCAGUUGGAGUAGGAUCCCUUGAAGAAGCGGUUGGACCACCAGCGCGGGACGUAGAUGUCGGUGGCGUUGGGGACAUCGACGUCGGGGAACAUCUUCCGCAGCACCGCCACGGCCUCCGCCUUGGUGACGUCGUCGGGCUGCUGCUCGAUCCGCCGGGACUCGUCGUCGGUGACCGUGACCAGGAGCACGGGUACGCCCGGGUACUCCCGCUCGAACGACUGCCACAUGCCGUAGUAGCCGCGGCGCCGGCUGGCGUACACGAAGAACUGCUUGCCGUCGCCCACGGGCCAGAACCGCCGGGGGAACUUGAGGAAGAUCUUGGUGUACACCGCCAUGUCGAACCGGUAGAUCGAGAAGAUCUUCCAGAACUG
Molecule: long non-coding RNA, 629 nt
Filed under: Setaria italica (foxtail millet)
Lineage: Eukaryota; Viridiplantae; Streptophyta; Magnoliopsida; Poales; Poaceae
Description: long non-coding RNA (SITA_LNC007353)
Source: RNAcentral